AGUGGGAUAGCUGGGUCAAAUGAUAGUUCCAUUCCAAUUUUUUAAAGAGUCUCUAUUUACUUUCCAGAUUGGUUAUAGCAAUUUGCAGUCCCACCAGCAAU
Molecule: microRNA precursor, 101 nt
Filed under: Marmota monax (woodchuck)
Lineage: Eukaryota; Metazoa; Chordata; Mammalia; Rodentia; Sciuridae
Source: RNAcentral